RNAcentral lists this transfer RNA (73 nucleotides) under Camelus ferus (Wild Bactrian camel). It matches the Rfam family "tRNA". Rfam says of the family: Transfer RNA (tRNA) molecules are approximately 80 nucleotides in length. Their secondary structure includes four short double-helical elements and three loops (D, anti-codon, and T loops). The record is from Rfam by way of RNAcentral. Lineage: Eukaryota; Metazoa; Chordata; Mammalia; Artiodactyla; Camelidae.
GAGGGUGUAGCUCAAGUGGCAGAGCACAUGCCUAGCAGGCAUGAAGUCCUGGGUUCAAUCCCUGGUGCCUCCU